UCCUAAAAAGCUAGCCCAACCUACAAAUUAAACAAUCCCCUUUAAAUUAAUUCACCACAAAACAACAAACAAAACAUUUUACCUCCCCAGUACUUAGGCGAUAGAAAAG
Molecule: ribosomal RNA, 109 nt
Filed under: Symbolophorus californiensis (bigfin lanternfish)
Lineage: Eukaryota; Metazoa; Chordata; Actinopteri; Myctophiformes; Myctophidae
Description: partial 16S rRNA
Source: RNAcentral